Long non-coding RNA from Pantherophis guttatus, 1162 nucleotides. RefSeq lists it as uncharacterized. Lineage: Eukaryota; Metazoa; Chordata; Lepidosauria; Squamata; Colubridae. The record is from RefSeq and is a predicted model, not a curated record.
AGCGGCGUGGCAGCCCGCCUGCCCGCUCGCCUGGGCCUGACGCCCACGCGGAACUUCGUUCGACGGGGCGAAGGAGCCCCCUGCUGGUCAGACAGUGGCAACGGCGCAGCGGCGGCCGCGUCUUCCCAAAGAUCCGGGGAGGAUCCCAGAGAACACCGCCCAUCUCACCUAAGUGAUUCUGAACCAGUGAUGAAAUCCAGCUGGAUCUAUCUGGCUCGGGCGAUCUGAUAGGGCCGGUGGUGGGAGACUCUGCCCACCCACCCAAACAUCAUCACGUCCCAUUUUUGAACCUCUGCACAUACGCAGAAGACUCUGCUCAUGCAUGGAGGAGGCGCGCACGAGCGUAGCAAGGUUUCGUACCUUUAAGCCAGAUUUGGAGACAUCAUGAAUGGGAAUCAUAUUCAUCCUAAGGAGAGAAAAAAAUCAGAAAUACAAAAAUGGUUUAUUUGCAAUGUUUGAAACUGAUUUCAUAUAUAAUCCCUGGAAAGCAACAUCUUUUAUUAUCUCAAGAGACAAAAUGAUUUUAAAUAAGCUUGGGAAGAGGGAGGUGCCAUGCAUUUCAUAUUUCCUGUUCUCUUUAAUUCUUUCCUUUUAAAUAUCGAAAGCCACUAAGUACUUCAAAGCUAGCUCAUUUCGUCUGUGUUCUACCUCGAUCUAUUGCAGGAUGAUAUUACAACUUCCUUAGCCUGUUUGGAAGCAUUAAGGCUGGAGGUAUAAAGUAGGUGGUGGAGAGUGAGUUAUGAUGAUUAGAUUGCAUGUGGCUCAGCAGAUACUCAAACAUAGCCUCAAAAAUUUAACAAGGAGCAACAGCAGUGACUUCUUAGUCUGGUAUUCUGGAAAGCUGAACAGAUAUCUCAGAGGAAGGAAGUAGAAAACCACUAGUUAUCUAUUUCCUUUUCUACUUAUGACUAUAACUUUGUUGCUUGUAUCUUUAGGAUUUAUAUUGUUUAUUUAGUUUCCUAGUAUGAUUUAUGUUGAUUUCUUAUUUAGUGUCCUAUGACUAUUGCUAAGAGUUGUAUCUUAUGAUUCAUGAUCAGUGUAUUUAUGAUUACUAUGAUCUUGAUUUAUCACUUAUAUCUUUUAUGUACACUGAGAGCUUAUGCACCGAAGGCAAAUUCUUUGUGUAUCCAAUCUUUAUUGGCCAAUAAAGAAUUCUGUUCUA